AGCAGAUUUAUUUUAUUCCCACUGAUGAAGAACUGUGAUCCUACCUCUGGGUGUUUAGAAAGGAAAAGAGGGUGCAUAGUUUUGAGUAAUUUUACUGGGUCACAAUUGAUCAACAAACAAAUAUCCUCCAUAUAAUUUACAUGAAGCUGCCUUUAUCACCAUUUAAAGCACAGCAUUUUAAAUGCCUGUUGCUCGGCAUAACAGACUCUUUGUAUCAUUUGCAUCUUGUCAUCUAAUCUGCCCCUGCCAUUGUACUUCUGCAGACAUGUAAAAUAAGAUUACUGAAACAUGUUACCCGAGGCUCAUGUAAGUAUACCGGGCAUUUUAAUAUUGUUUACAGCUCACUACUUGAAACAGGAGAGCACAAAUCAUUAGACUGCUUUUGUCACCAGAUGAAGGAAAAUACUUGGACUUGAGAAAGCCGGUAAAGGUAGAAGGAAAUAUGUAUUGAGCGUCCAAGGGCCAUCAUGGAACUCUGUGCAUAGGAUGGUUUAUCCAGAACGCAGUCGUUUUCCAGCACUCUCUCAUCAACUUCAGUGGUGCCUGGGCAUCAGAAUCAGCUCUUGUUUUUAGUUUUCAUUGUGAACCGUGAAGAAGCAGAGGAAGAAUGAAGAGAGAAAAUGCACAAAAAAAAGUAUUAGAACAAAAAAGCAAUUUAAGAAAAACUGGAUUGCAAUUUAAGCCAAACUGGAUGACAGUUUUUUUCCCCCACACUUCCUUUUUUUUCAGACACUCGGGUGAGCAGUCAGGAGAGACUAAUGUCAAAUGUCAAUUUGAGCCCUUGCAGAUUCUCAGAUGUAUGAAUUCCUGUCCAGGAUAAUUCUGUGGGGUUUCUUCAAAAGGUAUUUGUCAUCAUCAGUUGCCUCACACCCUGGCUAUGUGCUCUGCAGACCUUUUGUAUUUCAUUUGAAAUGUAACACAUCGCUGGCACAUCGCAAGGGCAAACAGAUGUCUAAUUUAUUCAGGAUGGUUGUGUGUGUGUGUGUGUGUGUUUUUUUUUCUUCAAGAAUGAAAAAAGAGAAGAAGGAAAGGGAGGAGAAAGGUCAAACCGGUUUCUCAGAGGAGCAGAGAAGACAAGAGGAGUACUGUCUAUUGGCAGAGCUUGCCCGCAUUGAGCAGGAGCUCAGAGAAAAGUCUCGCAAAGAGCUGGAGAGACAGGAGGCCCUGGAGAGAGCGCGCAGUGAGGCGAACCGUGACAGGUGGAGGAACCUCAGCUAUAUGGCCCUCAGCCAACGCGUGAACAAGUACGUUCCCAUCCGAACGCAGGUACAUUCAGUGGCAGACUCUGCAAUGUUUGUCUUCUCUGGAAUGUUCUUUGAAAAUUCUUAGGAUUUUUUUUCCCCCCUGUAGUCAAGGGAUUUGGUAACUAUACAAAAGAAGAUCCCCACAAUUAUUCUACAAAAUCCUUUGUGUCGUUUUGUUUUUGCAGGCCAUGGGUGUUCAGUUAUUUUAAGAACAUUCCCAUGCACAUUUACUGCCAGCCUAUCAGAAGACCGCCCCAGGUCCGACACCGCAAGAAGUGGCGAUAAUCAGUGUAGCCUGGACAGAGCGCUGAGCUGUCCUGCUGCUGGCUGAGGACAUGGCUGUGUGCAUCUUCAUCAGAACGGUUAUGGCCCUUUUCAAACCUGUUUGCACUCUAAAACAAAGUAGCAUUAGAAGGUUCUGCUUACUAGAAUCUUAAAAAAGUCAGAACAGACCCUCAUUUGCUUGAAUAUUGAAAAUCAUAUAAAUAGACCUAAAAUUGUGAGUCUUUAAUUUUGUGCCAUUUCCAGCUCACUGUAGUCAUUUUAUAUAUUUUUUU
Molecule: long non-coding RNA, 1801 nt
Organism: Lepisosteus oculatus (spotted gar)
Lineage: Eukaryota; Metazoa; Chordata; Actinopteri; Semionotiformes; Lepisosteidae
Source: Ensembl